AUGUCUCGCUUCGGGCGCUCCGGCCCGCCGCCGAUCCGCGACACCUACUCCCUCCUCGUCCUCAACAUCACCUUCCGUAAGUUUCCUCUCCGCAUCUCCACCGCGCUCUUCCCUUCUCCCCGAGGUACGCCUCCAUUAGGCGGCCGCCCUAAUCCUCCCCGUGCGUGUCUGGCAGGUACCACCGCCGAUGACCUUUUCCCGCUCUUCGACAAGUACGGCGAGGUCGUCGACAUCUACAUCCCUAGGGACCGCAGGACUGGCGACUCGCGAGGGUUUGCCUUCGUGAGGUACAAGUAUGAGGACGAGGCGCAGAAGGCAGUUGAUCGCCUGGAUGGGAGGUUGGUGGAUGGGAGGGAGAUGAUGGUGCAGUUUGCCAAGUACGGCCCAAAUGCUGAGCGGAUGUACCGGGAUGAUCAUCGGGGCAGAGAUUCUAGAAGGCGAAGUCGGAGUCGGAGUGGAGAUAGAUAUGGACGUGACAGGUACAGAGAGAGGGAUCAUCAUCGUCGUAGCAGGAGUCUUAGCGCUAGUCCUGAUGAUUACAAGAGGCGUGGCAGAGACAGAAGUCCUAGUCGUAGCAGGAGCCGCAGCUACAGUCCUGAUGAUGACAGGAAGGGUGGCAGAGACAGUUUGUCGCCUGCACGCAGAAGCACUAGUCGCUCCCCUCGCAAGACACCACCUCCUCGCAAGACACCACCUCCUCGCGAGGGGUCUCCUGCUAGGCGCAAUGAUGACCGGUCUCCUGUUGGGCGCAAUGAUGACCGGUCUCCUGUUAGGCGCAACGAUGACCGGUCUCCAGGCUCUCGUAGCCCUUCAACAUGA
RNAcentral lists this ribosomal RNA (819 nucleotides) under Triticum aestivum (bread wheat). RNAcentral describes it as "partial small subunit ribosomal RNA". Lineage: Eukaryota; Viridiplantae; Streptophyta; Magnoliopsida; Poales; Poaceae. The record is from RNAcentral.